RNAcentral lists this ribosomal RNA (527 nucleotides) under uncultured bacterium. RNAcentral describes it as "bacterial SSU rRNA". It matches the Rfam family "Bacterial small subunit ribosomal RNA", at positions 839 to 1430 of the family's 1533-position model. The record is from RNAcentral.
GUGGCUUCCGGAGCUAACGCGUUAAGUCGACCGCUGGGGAGUACGGCCGCAAGGUUAAAACUCAAAUGAAUUGACGGGGGCCCGCACAAGCGGUGGAGCAUGUGGUUUAAUUCGAUGCAACGCGAAGAACCUUACCUGGUCUUGACAUCCAGGUGCUGCAUGGCUGUCGUCAGCUCGUGUUGUGAAAUGUUGGGUUAAGUCCCGCAACGAGCGCAACCCUUAUCCUUUGUUGCAACUCAAAGGAGACUGCCAGUGAUAAACUGGAGGAAGGUGGGGAUGACGUCAAGUCAUCAUGGCCCUUACGACCAGGGCUACACACGUGCUACAAUGGCGCAUACAAAGAGAAGCGACCUCGCGAGAGCAAGCGGACCUCAUAAAGUGCGUCGUAGUCCGGAUUGGAGUCUGCAACUCGACUCCAUGAAGUCGGAAUCGCUAGUAAUCGUGGAUCAGAUGCCACGGUGAAUACGUUCCCGGGCCUUGUACACACCGCCCGUCACACCAUGGGAGUGGGUUGCAAAAGAAGUAGG